This 291-nucleotide ribosomal RNA is filed under the name uncultured prokaryote. RNAcentral's name for it is "partial 16S ribosomal RNA". It matches the Rfam family "Bacterial small subunit ribosomal RNA", at positions 505 to 795 of the family's 1533-position model. The record is from RNAcentral.
GUGCCAGCCGCCGCGGUAAGACGUAGGGGGCGAGCGUUGUCCGGAAUUACUGGGCGUAAAGGGCGUGUAGGCGGCCUGCCAAGUCAGCUGUGAAAUUCCUCGGCUUAACCGGGGCCCUGCGGUUGAAACUGGUAGGCUUGAGUGCAGAAGAGGAGGGUGGAAUUCCCAGUGUAGCGGUGAAAUGCGUAGAUAUUGGGAGGAACACCGGUGGCGAAGGCGGCCUUCUGGUCUGUAACUGACGCUGAGGCGCGAAAGCCAGGGGAGCAAACAGGAUUAGAAACCCUUGUAGUC